CAGCAGCCACGGUAAUACGGAGGAUCCAAGCGUUAUCCGGAAUCAUUGGGUUUAAAGGGUCCGUAGGCGGUCUUGUAAGUCAGUGGUGAAAGCCCAUCGCUCAACGGUGGAACGGCCAUUGAUACUGCAGGACUUGAAUUAUUGGGAAGUAACUAGAAUAUGUAGUGUAGCGGUGAAAUGCUUAGAGAUUACAUGGAAUACCAAUUGCGAAGGCAGGUUACUACCAAUUGAUUGACGCUGAUGGACGAAAGCGUGGGUAGCGAACAGGAUUAGAUACCCCGGUAGUCCCUGUCUCUUAUAC
This 301-nucleotide ribosomal RNA is filed under the name uncultured bacterium. RNAcentral's name for it is "partial 16S ribosomal RNA". It matches the Rfam family "Bacterial small subunit ribosomal RNA", at positions 509 to 807 of the family's 1533-position model. The record is from RNAcentral.